GAUGAAGAACGUAGCGAAAUGCGAUACGUAAUGUGAAUUGCAGAAUUCAGUGAAUCAUCGAGUCUUUGAACGCACAUUGCGCCCCCUGGUAUUCCGGGGGGCAUGCCUGUCCGAGCGUCAUUGCUGCCCUCAAGCACGGCUUGUGUGUUGGGCCUCCGUCCUCCUCCCGGGGGACGGGCCCGAAAGGCAGCGGCGGCACCGCGUCCGGUCCUCGAGCGUAUGGGGCUUCGUCACCCGCUCUUGUAGGCCCGGCCGGCGCUUGCCGACACAUCAAUCUUUUUUCCAGGUUGACCUCGGAUCAGGUAGGGAUACCCGCUGAACUUAAGCAUAUCAAUAGCGGAG
Molecule: unclassified non-coding RNA, 342 nt
Filed under: soil metagenome
Description: partial contains 5.8S ribosomal RNA, internal transcribed spacer 2, and large subunit ribosomal RNA
Rfam family: 5.8S ribosomal RNA (bases 1-120)
Source: RNAcentral